Empidonax traillii (willow flycatcher) is the source of this 984-nucleotide long non-coding RNA. RefSeq lists it as uncharacterized. The transcript has 3 exons. NCBI's taxonomy places the organism in Eukaryota, Metazoa, Chordata, Aves, Passeriformes, Tyrannidae. The record is from RefSeq and is a predicted model, not a curated record.
GUUUGUAAAGAGAGAGAGGAGAGAGGAAAAAAAAAAAUCUCUUCCAAAAAAGCACCGGUCUGCAGAUGUCUGCGAGAGAACCCACGAACCCUCCUUCUUCUACGGCAGGGCAGUUCCUUCCUAGAUGGGCCCAUGAAACCUAUGGUACUGGAGAUGAAGUGAUGCCUCUGAGUUAUUCGGCAUAUGUCUGGAAAAGCACACCCACUAAGCCAGCUGUGGCAGGUCUGCCCAUGCUGUGGACUGCUGAAUGUUGGAGCCAGUCGCUGAUCCGCCAGUGACAACAAAGAGCUCAGUGCUGCGUGGGUUGAAAGCAGCAUGAAACAGAAAAAAACGAAGCCAAACCCUCACUGCAUUCACUUCUGUGGCCUUAUAUGAGUCUGCCAUAAUACCUUCUUACCCUGCAUCUCAUUUUGCUAUCAAGGAAUCUCCUGAAACAUAAAUUCUUUGCUUGUCCCCGUGAUAUAAGAUUUGACUUUAUUUAGAAUGUUUGACUCUAUUUGCAAAGGCAGGAUAAAAAAGCAUUUUAUUUGUGCCAUGAAAUGAGAGAGUGGAGCAAGCUUCUGCAAGCAGGGUGCUUUGUUGAGUCAAAUUUAUACUCUCAUGUUGAGUGUGGAGCUUAUACCAUUCUUCACAGGAAAAGGUAUGCUUUACGCUAAUGCACAGUAAUCUCUGUACAAUCCCAACUCACUUUCUCCACUUUCAGCCACACCCUAGAGGGAAAUUUCUCUGAGAAAUUAACAUGGGAAUCGGCUCUUAACUGCAUUUUCAAAUAUAUUUAUCAGUUAAUUUUUUUUUCUACUGGUAUGACAAAGAAAUUAUACUAAUAAUAGUAAUAGAUCUGUGAUAACAGAUAAAACCCAGACACUGACAACUCCUACAUAUGGACCGUUUACUUUCCUAGUGUAUUUUGAACAUGAAUUAAGUUAAAUGACUGUUAUUUUCAAAACACAUUUUAAAUUGGAAAAAUGAUGAGUGGGAAAAAAA